Molecule: non-coding RNA, 163 nt
Filed under: uncultured Murdochiella sp.
Lineage: Bacteria; Bacillati; Bacillota; Tissierellia; Tissierellales; Peptoniphilaceae
Description: Lysine riboswitch
Rfam family: Lysine riboswitch aptamer
About the family: Riboswitches are metabolite binding domains within certain messenger RNAs that serve as precision sensors for their corresponding targets. Allosteric rearrangement of mRNA structure is mediated by ligand binding, and this results in modulation of gene expression.
Source: RNAcentral
UGAGGUAGAGGAGCGAAUACGAUGAGUAUCUCUUCGAGGCGGUAGCUGAUGACGAGAGAGAAAGGCGGGUUCGCCGAAAUGGUCUUUCGGACACGAGAGAUUGUUGGGUCGGCAUCAAAUAGGUGCCGGACUGUCACCGAGAAAUCGGUGGUGCGCUAUCGGA